UACGUAGGGUGCAAGCGUUGUCCGGAAUUAUUGGGCGUAAAGAGCUCGUAGGCGGCUUGUCGCGUCGUCCGUGAAAACCUGCAGCUCAACUGCAGGCUUGCGGUCGAUACGGGCAGGCUGGAGUUCGGUAGGGGAGACUGGAAUUCCUGGUGUAGCGGUGAAAUGCGCAGAUAUCAGGAGGAACACCGGUGGCGAAGGCGGGUCUCUGGGCCGAUACUGACGCUGAGGAGCGAAAGCGUGGGGAGCGAACAGG
Molecule: ribosomal RNA, 253 nt
Filed under: uncultured bacterium
Lineage: Bacteria
Description: partial 16S ribosomal RNA
Rfam family: Bacterial small subunit ribosomal RNA
Source: RNAcentral